Long non-coding RNA from Aquila chrysaetos chrysaetos, 7402 nucleotides. RefSeq lists it as uncharacterized. The transcript is spliced from 2 exons. Lineage: Eukaryota; Metazoa; Chordata; Aves; Accipitriformes; Accipitridae. The record is from RefSeq and is a predicted model, not a curated record.
UUGGCCUCUAUUUUAGUUGGUUAAAGCAGGUUCAGAUGGGAUUGCCCGUGGUGGGGUGAUGCUGCUGGAGACAUCAGUGGCUCUGCUCUUGCAGGCUGUUUUCACAAUCCAGCCAAACUCCAUCCCUAGACAUGGCAGUGGAGAGAUGGAAGGUCCUUACAUGCUGUGAUGCUCUUUGUAUACUGCACCUCUCCUCAGUCCACACCUGGCUGCCAGCCAUGUUGCUAAUAGGUUCUUGAGCUGCUCUUCUUUCAUCGUGCCCAAAGUAUGAAGCUGAACAGUGAAGCGUGGCUGUCUCCUAGCCCAGGCAGGGCAAAGCAGUGUCCCAAACACCUAGCAAAACCAAUUAACCCAGCAUGAAGCCUUCCAGGAGUUAAAUCAGCUGCUCAGCCCCUGAAGACAUCUCCUUGCACUCCCUAGGCAGCUCCAUGGCACCAAGCCUUAGUGUUUGGCAAGCGAGCCCCUAACUGAUGCUCACAUAGGCUCUCCUGUGUGGGCAACCUGUGGCCAUUUAGCAGCAGGGAGCCAUUUGGGUGGGAAGGAGCUGCAGGACGAGUCCUCCUAGCUGUGCCGGGGCCAGGGGCUGUGGCAGGACUGCUGGGCGACCGCAGGCAGCAGCUCUGCCUGCACCCACAAGGGGCUCUCAGUAUGGUGAACCCUGCCCCCAGCCCUGGGGCACACAUCCAUGGCUCGUGCCAGCCUCCCAGCCCUAUCCCAUUUUUUUAUUUUCUACAAAGCUUUGUCCUCUGCCUAUGGCCACAAAAAUCAAGUUAAACAAGAGGGGAUGUGAAGAAUCUUGCUGGCAAUCUGAGCUCCAGACAGCGCCCAGUAAUCCCACCUCGAUGGGGAUUUCAGCAGACUGAGUCCUGGUGAUCAAGAUGGAGCAAGGGGAAAACGGGGCCACCGGCAGUGCAGCCGGCAGGCAGAUGGCCCGGGGCGGUGGGACCUCAAUCUGGCUGCAGCGUGAGUAUUUGGGACCGGUUAUGGACAGCGAGGAUGAGCAGAUCGGGCAAAGCCUUCACAGAGCAGCUUGGCAUGCCACAACCCAACCAGGCCUGCAAAUCCUGCUGCAGGCAGGGCUGGGGGGGGGGCCCCAAGACCAUCCCAUGUGCUGCUCUUGCUGAAGGGUGAGGAUAGGACAAGAGGUGUUUUUUGUUGUGUUUUUUUUUUUUUUUUUCUAUUCCAGCCUGUCAGUGUGGGACAAAAGGGUUAAGACCCCAGCGGGUUUGAUACCACACUGGCUUUUAAGUGCUCAGGGCAUCAAGAAUUUGCUCCUCGUUUGAGCCUGCUGCACAUCACACCUCCCUCUGCUGCACACCACACCUCCCUCUGCUGCACACAAGAUGCUUUUGCUCCCUGCAGAGAAGAUGGAGCUUGAAUGCAUGGUCCCACUCAUCCCCCUGCCCCAAGGCUGCUCAACGUCCUGCCUGCAGGCUCCCAGAGAUGGGGACAAGAGCUCCCAGGCAGCCCGGAGGCUGGGCUAGCAUUUGCCAGGAGUUGGGGAGAUAGAGGGGAAGCAGAAGGAAAAGCUUCCCUGCUCUCUGCACGCCUCCUGCCCCAUCAACCACUGCUCCAGGGCAUGGUGACGAGCCCUCCUUGGCCACGCUUUGGCAUGCAGUGGAAUGGGGAUCCAGGCCGGGGAGCACUGCCACAGCCACUGCUGCUUCCCUCCAGGACCAGGAAUGGCUUGGGGCCACCACCGCUCCAUCCCCUGGACUGGCCACCUUGGUCCCCUCCCUGCAGACCCCAGCACUGUCUGCCUCCUGCCUUCCUCCCGCUCCACCCUGGCUGCUGAGGAUAAAGAGGAGUGAGCAGAGAAGAUGGGAAGGAUGAAGCAGCAUUUUUGGGGACGAUUCAGCCAUCCAGGCUGGGCAAAACCCUGAUGCUGGUGUCAGCCUCUGCAACCCUUCAGACAGCAGCUUCCACCUCCCACUCAGGUCGUGUGGUAACAAGAACAUUGGUGAUUCAGGGUGAACAACAAUCUGCAAUACUGUGUGAGCAGAUAAUAAAAUGGCAGCUGGUACUGAAUGGGGAUAAAUGUGUUUUUCCUAUUUUCUUCUCUUUGCAGUCUUAUAAUGUGCACCAAGCUAUUCCCUCCCUCAAAUAAGAGCUCAGCUUUCACCAGAUAGUCCAAAAGCUGUUCAAAUGAGAGGCGCACGUUAAAAAUCACUUGGGAAAGAGGAGCCCGUAAAAGGUAGAACAUCAUUACAGCCCUUUACACAUCCAUAAUUCACUGAGAGCAUUUCUGCUCUCCCCACCUCAGAAGGAUAUAGCUAGACUGGAAAAGGUUCAAAAAGCAAUCGAGAUGAUAGCCAAAGGUCUGCAGUGGCUCUUAUACAAGAGUGUAUAAAUAGACUAGCACUUCCAUCUGGGGCAGGAUUUGUGGCUCAGGGACUUCAUAUUUAAUAGCCCAUGGUGGAGUUUUCCAUCCCUGACUGGAAGAGCAUUUGUGGGAAGAAUUAACUGCCCAUACGGCUUGUUCUUAUGGCAGCUGGCAGGACCGGCAAACCUAGCGCGGCCGCCAAGACCAGAGGUGCCGCAUGGUCAGUGGCGGCUCUGCACGAGCAGCGAGCCACAGCUCCCACCUGGCCAACGUCCCUUUGUCCCUCACGGUGGCCUCAUGACUGGGCUUUGCAGUUUGUGCGUGUGGCUGCUGGCUGCCCUGGCUGGGGAGGUAGGUCACAUCGCAGCAAUUCCUCUCUUCCCUAGCUUGUCAAUCACUUGAUGUUUUUCAAUAAGUGGGUUUAAUUUGGCUUUUAAAUACCUGGCGCAACAUGAGUGGCUGCAUGCCUGAAGGCAGCUUCAAUAUGGGUGAGCUUCAGCAAAAAAAAUAAAGCAAAAAUUUGGGCUGACGAGUAAUUAAAACGUGAGGACCGUCGACCCACCAGGCGCUGUGCUAUCCCCCCCCCCGGGGUGUGCAGGGCACACAGCUCCCUUUGCAUCCAUCUGGCACCACCUCGUGGGUAUCCAGCUUCUGCUCCUGGCCACCAUGGUGUUUUGUGGCCCUGUAGCACAGCUGGAAAGAUCUUUGGUAUUGCAAAUGUGCUUGUGUUCAUACCCACAGGCUGCAGCAUGGUGGGGAGGACUUCAGCUCCAGCCUUUGCCCUGGGGCUUUAUUCUGCUUUGGGUCUGGAUCACCAACUCCAAGUCUCCCACUACUGGGCAGGCUGUAGGUAGAGGGAGGCCACGGAAACCACCUUCUCCUGUGUUCCCUUUGAAAAGAAAGCAGGGGCUGCACCUUGGAGUCUCUGAGCCCUCCAGUGCUAAGUUUCCAGCCACUCACAAGGCAAUAAUACCGUAAUAAGGCAUUAAGUGGCUUCUGAAACCAUUAGCCAUUUGCUGCAUUAAAUGCUCGUGUUGCCACAGGGGAGGCUCCGUCAUUCCUCGGCCCUUUUUCAGAAAGGGGAUCAACAAGAAGCUUCCCAGAGGCUCAGGUUGGGGGGGGGGGGGUGCCCCGCCUCGUUGCAGCGGGAGCAAGCUGGGGUGAGGGCCCUCUGGCAUUGGAGGGCUGGGUGCUCACCUGGCUGGGUACACAGGUUGGGGUCCUGGGUGGGGGAGACUCACAGCAUGGGCAAGCCGGAGCAAAAGGUGCAAGUAGGAGGUUUUUGUUUCCGCUGGCAAUGAAGUGGGGGUGAGGGACUGGAGGAGGGAGCCAGGGACUUGUCUGAUGUACAAGUAAUCAGCUGUAUCAUCUUAUUUUGAAGGCUUUUUAGUUUAACAUAAAUAAAACCAUCCUAGAGAGAACAGGUAGCAACUGAGGCCAGAAACCAGGAGCGCCCACAAUAUUGGGCUAGCAUAGCUGUAACCCUUGCAAGGGCUAGCCAAGCCAAUCAUUCAUCUUUCUGCCAUAAACUUUGCUGGGAGUCAUGAAGGGAUUCAGAGAAAAAAAGGUCUUCAAAUGGCGCAGCCAGGCCAACCCUGGUACCAGCCUCGGCAGCAUCCCUGGGCCUGGCACCCUCCGAGGGCCGUUCCCCGCCUGCCGCCCCAACGCUUUCUCCUGCAAGGCUGCAAGAAGACACGCUGAGGGGUGACCUGCACCCAGGCUUGCAGGAAUCUUAAAAAAAAUUAUCUCUUGCCUUCUUGGCUGUCUUGGACCCAGGAGAGGGCAGCAGCAGCCCAGGCUGCAGUCUCAGCUACCCUUGCCAAAGCUGGUCUUCAACUCCUAAGCUGCUCAGAGAACGCUGAGAAAGAAAAGCAAUGUAUGCAGUGAGCAAGCAGAAAGCAAAACCGCAGUGAGCAGGCUAGUGGUACUCUCUUGGGCCUCAAAAUUGUCUGCUUUCAAGGUGGAAGUGGAAAGAAAACAGUCUUUCUUUGAAAACAAACUGGAGUGCCAAGGCUUUUCAUGGCAGUCUUUCAUUCUUUGGCUAUCAGUCAUCACUGUAUGGAUACUUUUUACAGCACCAGAAAAUAAGGUGGCGAUGCUGGGGCUGUUCCCAAUAGAGGUGGAAGGUAAGCACAGGCAAUGACAUGCAGUGCGUGCACUUCACACUGUUGCAGAGAUACUAAAAGCCCGUGAGAUCCUGCUCUGGAGCUAUUGUGGCUUCACUCAGAGCACUUCAGGACAAUGAAACAUGAUUACCAGCACUUCAAGGGCACGUCAGCUGCCUUUCUCUUGCUAAGCUUGCUGUCCCUGAAAGGGGGUGUUGGAAACAGGGGAAGUUUCUACUUCUCCACCUUGGUACCCCAAACACAGGCUCCCUUCCAGCCUGGUCUGAGGUUCACAGCAGACCGCUGCGAAACUCUUCCUGCACAUUUUCACUCACAGCAUCACCUUUUUAGGUCAGCAUCUUCCGGUGCAGCUGUGGCCCUGCCUUUCAGCCCAGCCAGCCUGAUGGCACCCUCCUGGUUUUACUGAAUGAGAUCACCAGGAUGAGUCAUGUAGCAGGUGAGAGGGAGGAGAACAUCCUUACAGCCACACUGAAAUCCUAGCCACCCCUUUGACAACACGUUAUGGAGCCAACCUGGCUUUUGCUGCAGGCACUUCCAUUUCUGCGAGUGUCGGUCUUCCCUGGGGCACAUGGGAGGCAGCAUGCGCCUCUCCUGGCUUGCAGCAUAAACCACGUGGCCUCCAUUCUCAGUCCAGCUCAAUUGAUUCUUUUUUUUUUAGUUCACACUCUCUGAAAUCACAGCAAAGUGCAAAAUUGUUGCUUACCAAAGCUGUUCUUCUGAAAUGAGUCAUUAAAGAAGGAGCCUUGUCAUUCUGCCAGACACAGCCUGGUUGCUUCUCUAGAUGUAAGGACACAAGAGAACAGCUUGCUGCUCUGUUUCUUCAACCUGCCUGCACCCUGGGUGUUACCCAGCGUCCAUCCAGAGCCUGGACAGAGUAAGUCCUGCCUUAUUCCUGCUUCUUUGGAUGACCAGCUCUUUUCACCCCAUUUUUGGGUGAAGGCCCUGCGUGUCUGUAAGCUGGCUCGGAUUCAGUUCCUUUAAUUGUGUGUGCAUUCAGGAGCUCUUGCAUGUCUUGAUGGCUUGAAGCCCAGCGGGUGUUCAUCGGCUGGGGGGGGGGGAUCUGGUAAGGAGAUCCACAUGUCCUAUCGUGUGUGCCUUUGUGAGCUACUGAACUUGAAGCUGUUGGGCUGAUGAAUGCAAUGGUCCUCAACGCUUGUACAUGUGGUAACAUUUUGGUGAUGCCGUGCUUUGUACCAGGCUAGCAGCUUGUUUGGGGAGCUACCUCUGUGUCCAGCACUCCUGCAAAAUAGAUCUUUUAUUCUGAAAACCCUUCAGCCAAACUCAGUCUUGCCUCUUGCAUCCAUCACUCCCUCCCUGGUGGCACCAGGGCAGAGGAGAGGCUGUGGAGAGAAGGAGCAGCAGUAAUUUCUUCACAUCUGAUGCUGCGUCCACACCAGCUAUUGGGAGACAUUACAAAAAUCACUACAUACAGCCUGACUUUCUUUUUCCCCUGAGAUGAUGUCCUAAGUCUGCAAAGUCAAUGGGAACAGUGUAUUCUUGCUGCUUGAGAAAAGCCAAGCUGCAAUAUUAGAUAUCUUACUGCAAUUUGGAGGUUAGUUCCUUACCCUGAUGUUUUGGACUUCCCCUCCCUGGCAUGCAUGAGGUUUUCUUCUUAAAUCAGUACCAGAGACAGGAGUCAGAUACGGGUCUUUUGGAAGCUUGUCUUGUGUGUCUAGUGCGAGACCCAAGAGCACAUGUGAAGCUAGACCUACUUUGCAUGACUGCUCUUAGUUCCCUCUCUCUGUUUGUAGUCUAGAGCUGACCUGGCCCAAAAAAAAGCAUUUCUGAGGUGUUUUGUGUUCACCUCCACCCAGCUGUAAGCGACUCACAGCAAGCUGUAGAGCACAGAUCCCUGAAUUUUCUUUCUUCAUUCUUUCUUCUUCCUCCACAGACACUCCCCAGCUGAAUCCUGUGAUGGAACCCCUGUCCUGGAUGCUGGGCACCUGGCUCUCAGACCCGCCAGGAGACGGCACCUUCCCUACAACAAAGCCCUUUGAGUACCUGGAAGAAGUGCACAUCUCUCACGUGGGGCAACCCAUGCUCAACUUCUCCUAAGUCCAGAGGUGUGUUGGCAGCAGCUUUUGGAUCUGAGCAGGAGAAAAAGCAGUGCAGGAACACAAGUGACAUCUGCUGUGAGACUGAGACCACUUCAGUUUUUCUAGUUGCUUUGAAGAAGGUGAACCUACUGCCAAUGUUUGACAAGGGAGACGUAUAAGUAAGGCUGUGGUUGAAGCAAUGUCAGGUCUAGGACACAAUAAGGAUUGCUCAAAUGCCCGUCAUUGAAAUACCCAAGCCGAGACAGCUUUUCUGCUCCCUACCUUUUUGAUAAAGCAAACAUUUCCAUUCACUGAAUGUUGGUCUAUUACAAAGAAACAGAAAAUGAAGAUGGCGCCGGGGGGUGUGUGUGGGAUAAUCCUUACAGGAGCAAGUUCUUCUGUGAGCAAAGGAGUGCUGAAGCUCAGGUUCCGGCAGGCUCAACUCUGACCUUGACAUUCCCCACUGUAAUAAUGCACAGGCCACUCUCAUCUGCAAAAUACUCCACAUACACUAAAAUAUUUAAGAUGCUGUUUCCCCAUCUCCAACCCUUUCCCCCUCCUCCCGCUACUCCCUAGGCAUCUCCUGUACCUCCACCCGGCCCCCACUGCAACAACCUCACCUUCCCCCUGUGCACCCAGUUCUGGUGAGACAGCAAGGCAGGAGGCAGCAAAAGCAAAAGCUUGGCUGGAUUUUACAUGUGCCAAGUGACUGCUGCCUAAUGGGGUGAACAGCAGCCACAUUUUCCGGUGCUAAAAUGAGGUCUGUCCCCUGCCCCUGUUGCGACUGCUGCCCUUUAGCAAAAGGGGAUGAAAUUGGGCAGUGGACUGAAAGGUCACUGAGGACAGGGAGCAACCCCCCAAGACAGUUUGUUCAUAGGUUAGUCUCACUUAGAACAUUCAGUAUGAGCAAGACAGCU